CUCUUUGACUUUCAUUAAAAGCAAUAUGUGGAGAGAACUGAGCCAACUCAGUGAAAUGAUGAUCAUAUUCCAUUACAGUUCUAUUUCCUUGGUGGAUGCUAAGGAACUCUUGUUGUUUCUCAAAGCGAACUGAAUUAGGAAAGAACUGCUCAUAAAAUGCAUCUUUAAACUGCUCCCAAGUUACCACAUUACCUCCAGCCUCUAACAUCCUCCUUUUUGAGGUCCACCAAGUGUCUGCCUUCCCUUCCAAAAUGAAAGAAGCAAAAGGCACUUUCUGAUUUUCCCUACAUUCGAUAGCUUCGAAUGUCUUUUCCACUUGACGAAUCCAACGUUCAGCAAAGAUUGG
This 346-nucleotide long non-coding RNA is filed under the name Musa acuminata (dwarf banana). RNAcentral describes it as "long non-coding RNA (MACU_LNC007158)". The record is from RNAcentral. Lineage: Eukaryota; Viridiplantae; Streptophyta; Magnoliopsida; Zingiberales; Musaceae.